RNAcentral lists this microRNA precursor (145 nucleotides) under Pinus taeda (loblolly pine). Its description in RNAcentral is "miR947 stem-loop (pta-MIR947)". Its record names the gene pta-MIR947. The record is from miRBase by way of RNAcentral. Lineage: Eukaryota; Viridiplantae; Streptophyta; Pinopsida; Pinales; Pinaceae.
ACGCCUAAGGCGCAGCAGCAGAUUCUGAUAGAAGACUCAGGCAAAGCAUUUGUUGUUGGCAGGUUGAAUGCUUUCGGCAGAACCACCAAUAACAAGGGGGGCGCCUGGUGUCUUGCAUCGGAAUCUGUUACUGUUUCCUAGGCGU